This 179-nucleotide ribosomal RNA is filed under the name uncultured Desulfovibrio sp. Its description in RNAcentral is "partial 16S ribosomal RNA". It matches the Rfam family "Bacterial small subunit ribosomal RNA", at positions 1204 to 1382 of the family's 1533-position model. Lineage: Bacteria; Pseudomonadati; Thermodesulfobacteriota; Desulfovibrionia; Desulfovibrionales; Desulfovibrionaceae. The record is from RNAcentral.
AUGUCUAGGGCUACACACGUACUACAAUGGCCGGUACAAAGGGCAGCCACUCAGCGAUGAGGCGCUAAUCCCAUAAAGCCGGUCUCAGUCCGGAUCGCAGUCUGCAACUCGACUGCGUGAAGUUGGAAUCGCUAGUAAUCGUAGAUCAGCAUGCUACGGUGAAUACGUUCCCGGGCCUU